This 89-nucleotide transfer RNA is filed under the name Candidatus Falkowiibacteriota bacterium. Its description in RNAcentral is "tRNA-OTHER". It matches the Rfam family "tRNA". From Rfam's summary of the family: Transfer RNA (tRNA) molecules are approximately 80 nucleotides in length. Their secondary structure includes four short double-helical elements and three loops (D, anti-codon, and T loops). Lineage: Bacteria; Candidatus Falkowiibacteriota. The record is from RNAcentral.
GGCGAGGUAGCUCAGAUGGGGUCUAAUAAACCGAAGAGCAACCGGUUUUAACCGGUAGGUCGUCGGUUCAAAUCCGACCCUCGUCACCA